RNAcentral lists this ribosomal RNA (442 nucleotides) under uncultured bacterium. RNAcentral describes it as "partial 16S ribosomal RNA". It matches the Rfam family "Bacterial small subunit ribosomal RNA", at positions 338 to 795 of the family's 1533-position model. The record is from RNAcentral.
CCUACGGGAGGCAGCAGUGGGGAAUAUUGGGCAAUGGGCGAAAGCCUGACCCAGCAACGCCGCGUGAAGGAAGAAGGCUUUCGGGUUGUAAACUUCUUUUGAUAGGGAAGAGCAGAAGACGGUACCUGUCGAAUAAGCCACGGCUAACUACGUGCCAGCAGCCGCGGUAAUACGUAGGGGGCAAGCGUUGUCCGGAUUUAGUGGGUGUAAAGGGCGUGUAGCCGGGCUGAGAAGUCAGAUGUGAAAUCUGGGGGCUCAACCCCCGAAGUGCAGUUGAAACUGUUGGUCUUGAGUAUAGGAGAGGCAGGCGGAAGUCCUAGUGUAGCGGUGAAAGGCGUAGAUAUUAGGAGGAACACCAGUGGCGAAGGCGGCCUGCUGGACGGCAACUGACGGUGAGGCGCGAAAGCGUGGGGAGCAAACAGGAUUAGAUACCCGGGUAGUC